UACGUAGGGUGCGAGCGUUGUCCGGAAUUAUUGGGCGUAAAGGGCGCGUAGGCGGCUCUGCACGUCCGUUGUGAAAUCGCCCGGCUCAACUGGGCGGGGUCAGCGGAUACGGCGGAGCUUGAGCAAGCUAGGGGGCAAUGGAAUUCCCGGUGUAGUGGUGGAAUGCGUAGAGACCCGGAGGAACACCAGUGGCGAAGGCGGCUUCCUGGUCUGCAACUGACGCUGUGGCGCGAAAGCUAGGGGAGCAAACGGG
Molecule: ribosomal RNA, 253 nt
Filed under: uncultured bacterium
Lineage: Bacteria
Description: partial 16S ribosomal RNA
Rfam family: Bacterial small subunit ribosomal RNA
Source: RNAcentral